This 28-nucleotide non-coding RNA is filed under the name Mus musculus (house mouse). Lineage: Eukaryota; Metazoa; Chordata; Mammalia; Rodentia; Muridae. The record is from RNAcentral.
UGUGAUGGUCCCCCUCUCCUCUCUCGGC